Molecule: long non-coding RNA, 242 nt
Organism: Toxotes jaculatrix (banded archerfish)
Lineage: Eukaryota; Metazoa; Chordata; Actinopteri; Toxotidae
Exons: 3
Source: RefSeq, a predicted model, not a curated record
CAGAGGAAAUUGAAGAAGCCGACUAUGUUAAUGCAGCAGUACGCACUGUGGACAAAAUGCCAGUCACCUUAGAUAAGAAGUCUCCCUCCUUCACUCAGUCUGUUCCAACAAUAGCAGUGAGUUGGGUUGUACUGCUUGUAAUUGUGGGUCUUCAUAUCUACUUUACCUCUGUCAUUUCUGAAAACAACAACUAGCUGAAUGAAGAAAUCCUUAACCUGACAACACGAAACCAGGAACUAGAG